Molecule: ribosomal RNA, 1057 nt
Filed under: Marinospirillum sp. CPA-13
Lineage: Bacteria; Pseudomonadati; Pseudomonadota; Gammaproteobacteria; Oceanospirillales; Oceanospirillaceae
Description: bacterial SSU rRNA
Rfam family: Bacterial small subunit ribosomal RNA
Source: RNAcentral
UGCAAGUCGAGCGGAAACGAUGGAAGCUUGCUUCCAGGCGUCGAGCGGCGGACGGGUGAGUAAUGCAUAGGAAUCUGCCCGGUAGUGGGGGAUAACUCGGGGAAACUCGAGCUAAUACCGCAUACGUCCUACGGGAGAAAGUGGGCUUUUGCUCACGCUAUCGGAUGAGCCUAUGUCAGAUUAGCUAGUUGGUGGGGUAAAGGCUCACCAAGGCGACGAUCUGUAGCUGGUCUGAGAGGAUGAUCAGCCACACUGGGACUGAGACACGGCCCAGACUCCUACGGGAGGCAGCAGUGGGGAAUAUUGGACAAUGGGGGCAACCCUGAUCCAGCCAUGCCGCGUGUGUGAAGAAGGCUUUCGGGUUGUAAAGCACUUUCAGCGAGGAGGAAAGCGGUGUUGUUAAUACCAGCAUCGUGUGACGUUACUCGCAGAAGAAGCACCGGCAAACUCCGUGCCAGCAGCCGCGGUAAUACGGAGGGUGCGAGCGUUAAUCGGAAUUACUGGGCGUAAAGCGUGCGUAGGUGGUUAAGUAAGCCAGAUGUGAAAGCCCCGGGCUUAACCUGGGAACGGCAUCUGGAACUGCUUAACUAGAGUGCAGUAGAGGAAGGUAGAAUUCCACGUGUAGCGGUGAAAUGCGUAGAUAUGUGGAGGAAUACCAGUGGCGAAGGCGGCCUUCUGGACUGACACUGACACUGAGGUACGAAAGCGUGGGGAUCAAACAGGAUUAGAUACCCUGGUAGUCCACGCCGUAAACGAUGUCUACUAGCCGUUGGGCUCCUUGAGAGCUUAGUGGCGCAGCUAACGCAAUAAGUAGACCGCCUGGGGAGUACGGCCGCAAGGUUAAAACUCAAAUGAAUUGACGGGGGCCCGCACAAGCGGUGGAGCAUGUGGUUUAAUUCGAUGCAACGCGAAGAACCUUACCUACCCUUGACAUCCAGAGAAGUCGCUAGAGAUAGCUUCGUGCCUUCGGGAACUCUGUGACAGGUGCUGCAUGGCUGUCGUCAGCUCGUGUUGUGAAAUGUUGGGUUAAGUCCCGUAACGAGCGCAACCCCUAUCC